UACGGAGGGGGCAAGCGUUGUUCGGAAUCAUUGGGCGUAAAGGGCGCGUAGGCGGCCGAUCAAGUCGGGUGUGAAAUCCCUCGGCUCAACCGAGGAACUGCACUCGAUACUGAUCGGCUCGAGUCCGGGAGGGGAUGGUGGAAUUCCCAGUGUAGCGGUGAAAUGCGUAGAUAUUGGGAGGAACACCGGUGGCGAAGGCGGUUCUCUGGGCCUGACCUGACGCUGAGGAGCGAAAGCGUGGGGAGCGAACAGG
This 253-nucleotide ribosomal RNA is filed under the name uncultured bacterium. RNAcentral describes it as "partial 16S ribosomal RNA". It matches the Rfam family "Bacterial small subunit ribosomal RNA", at positions 524 to 776 of the family's 1533-position model. The record is from RNAcentral.